Molecule: transfer RNA, 65 nt
Filed under: Coleoptera sp. 2 AH-2016
Lineage: Eukaryota; Metazoa; Arthropoda; Insecta; Coleoptera
Description: tRNA-Leu
Source: RNAcentral
GUUGUUUUGGCAGAUUAGUGCAGUAAGUUUAGAACUUAUAAAUGUGAUUUAUUUUACAAACAAUA